This 781-nucleotide ribosomal RNA is filed under the name uncultured fungus. RNAcentral's name for it is "eukaryotic LSU rRNA". The stretch from base 194 to 347 matches the Rfam family "5.8S ribosomal RNA". Lineage: Eukaryota; Fungi. The record is from RNAcentral.
CAUUAACGAAUUGUCAUCGGGGCUGAUGCUGCAUAUAUGUGUGCGUGCUCGCUCCUAACAAUCUUUAUCCAAACACCUGUGCACAUAUUUAGAGGGAGAGAGGGAACUCGCAGUUCCCUUCCCUUUAUUUUAUUAUUACACACUGGUUUUCAAUAUUGAACGUGAUUGUGCCAUAAGGCCUUAACAUUAAUACAACUUUUAACAACGGAUCUCUUGGCUCUCGCAUCGAUGAAGAACGCAGCGAAAUGCGAUAAGUAAUGUGAAUUGCAGAAUUCAGUGAAUCAUCGAAUCUUUGAACGCACCUUGCGCUCCCUGGUAUUCCGGGGAGCACGCCUGUUCGAGUGUCGUGAAAUCCUCAAGCCUAGGGCAUUAUAUUGUCCCCUUUGGCUUGGUUGUUGGGCUCUGCCGUUCCUUCAAUCGUAGGGAUGGCUGGCCUUAAAAAUAUUAGCUGGUCUUAAUUGUGGGCAUUGGUUCUACUCAGCGUGAUAAUUAUAAUCUUGACCGCCGAGGAUAUCUUUCGGGAUAGCCAGCUCUCGUUUGGGCCGCUUCUAGUCUGGUUGAACGAAGUUCUGUGAAUCUCGUUUUACCCUUUCAGUUUUGACCUCGAAUCAGGUGGGACUACCCGCUGAACUUAAGCAUAUCAAUAAGCGGAGGAAAAGAAACUAACAAGGAUUCCCCUAGUAACGGCGAGUGAAGCGGGAAGAGCUCAAAUUUAAAAUCUGGCAGUCUUUGAUUGUCCGAAUUGUAAUCUAGAGAAGCGUUUUCCGCGCUGGACUGUGUA